Molecule: long non-coding RNA, 1996 nt
Filed under: Homo sapiens (human)
Lineage: Eukaryota; Metazoa; Chordata; Mammalia; Primates; Hominidae
Description: HSALNT0360756
Source: RNAcentral
UUUCUCUGUUGCAAAAGUGCACCCUCCUCAGAUGGGGAUGGGGAGUGGCCUUCACUAGGGUGGUCCUCCUGGCUGAGCAGGGCCGGCCCAGGGGAGGGCGGGGCCAGCACGUCCCCAGAACAGUGCCUGUCCAGGGGCACAAGGGUUCACUGAAGACUCAGGAGAGGGGUUUAGAGCACAGCCUCCCUCUCCAGGGUCAGGUUCACGGGAGCUGUUGGGGGCUCCUUCCCUCGCAGCAGUGACCACUCCAAGGACCACGGCCUGGACAUGAGCGGCAGCGGAGUCUAGAUGAAUAUAGGCAGCAGCCAAAGGCCACAGUCACGACAAACCUACACACUCUCACCACUGUCAUCUCAUAUUGUCCUAAAAUUUCCAGCCAGUGCAAAAAAACAUGAAAAAGAAAAAAUACAGCCAUUGGAAAAGAGGAAAAGUAAUUGUUAUUAGCUGAUGAUGUGAAUGUCUUCCUGAAAACCUUAAGAGAACCAACUGGAAAACAACCAGAAAUGAGAGCAUGGAGUUAGGCAACCGCCGAUCUGCUUUCUGUCACUUGGGCGAGUUUUUCCCGUCCUGGGAUUUCAUAUCUCUGGAAUCCUGCAGUACGUAGCCCUCUGUCUGGCUUCCUCGCUCCGUGUAAUGUUCUUGAGAUUCAUCCAUGCAGCUGUGUAUACCUGCAGUGAUUGUUUCUCUUGUUGAAUUGCUGAGAAGGGUUCCAUCGUAUGCCUUUUCCAGUUUAUUUGUUCAUCUGUUGUUAGACAUUUGAGUUAUUUCCAGCUUGGGACUCUUAUGAACAAAACUGCUAUAAACAUGCAUAUUCAAGUCUUUGUGGAUAUGUGCUUUCUUUUGUCCUGGAUAAAUGUCUCCACGUGGGCUUCCUGGGUCUCACGGACCUGCUGCAGGGGAAGGGGCCAGGAGGCCAGGAGACUGGACAGCAGGAGGCUCGAGGACCACGCAGACACUGGCCUUGGGAGCACCCACCUCUCUGACCCGCUCCAGAGGGGGCUAGAGACCUGGAGGCAAAGCCCAGGGUCAGAAACCACAGAUGGCUCCUAAGGCCAGGUGGGCAGCUGAACCCAGCAGGGUGAGGAGCAGGAGGUAUCCCUGGGCCCCAGCACCCACCCAGUGUGGUGCCCCCAGAGCUGGCCUGGAGGAAGAUGCCCCCCCUGCUAGACCUCAGGGCUGACAAGCCCCCUGCGAGGGGCUGCGGGGCCAUGGGUGGGGGCUGCUUUCUCCCGGCUCCCUGGGCCCCAGGGCCCCUCUCCUCAGCCUGGAAGCCCACAUGCUCCUGACUCCAUGGCUGUGGUUCUUGGCCCACACUCUGGGUUCUGGAGGCUGAGGGGGCUCCGACGGGGGCACACCUGACAUCUGCUAAGGAAGCAGGAGGUCCCAGGGCACAGCGGCCACAUCAGCUGGAGGCACUGGGAGAGCUGCACUCCCGGGCUAAACAGAGCCAGGCAUGUGCUCCACGGGGAGUGGGUGGGGCACUGCCCUCAGUGGUCUUGGCCCAGGCUGCCUCUGGCUAGCGAGGGAGUGCGCUCCUGGGUGGCCUGGCUGCACGGCCGUCCUGCAUGGCCCAGCUUUUGUCUGUGUCCCUGUGCAGCCUCAUAGGCCCCGCAGCCCCCUGGGAUCCCAUAUCUGCACAGGUGGCCUCUGCUGGGAGGGAAGUGGGUGGCUCUGAUUCCUCUCUGGCUCCUGUUCUCUCCUGGGGCCCCUGGAGGUGGGCGGGCGGCCUCGAAGCCUGCCUAUGUGGAAGAAGCUCGGACGGCACCAGCAGGAUGGUCGCAGGACUCAGGGGCCCGGGCUGCACCUGUUGUCUGGCCUGCCUGUGCUCGGGUUUCUCCCUCCCUCCUGGAGCCCCCAACCAAUGGGGGAAGCAGGCAAACAGUGGGGGCCCCGCCUGGCCCAGGGAAGGCUUUAUGGAAGAGGCGAGGCCUGAGACCCCAGGAAGGAGGAGCAGCCUCUGGGUCAGGGGAGGGCAGGGGCCAGAGCUGGCAGGAGG